Molecule: microRNA, 18 nt
Filed under: Gallus gallus (chicken)
Lineage: Eukaryota; Metazoa; Chordata; Aves; Galliformes; Phasianidae
Description: microRNA Ros-gga
Source: RNAcentral
UGGGUGGGGGCGGCAGGG